This 429-nucleotide ribosomal RNA is filed under the name Chloroflexota bacterium. RNAcentral's name for it is "Chloroflexi bacterium partial 16S ribosomal RNA". It matches the Rfam family "Bacterial small subunit ribosomal RNA", at positions 355 to 776 of the family's 1533-position model. The record is from RNAcentral. Lineage: Bacteria; Bacillati; Chloroflexota.
UGGGGAAUAUUGCACAAUGGGCGCAAGCCUGAUGCAGCCAUGCCGCGUGUGUGAAGAAGGCCUUCGGGUUGUAAAGCACUUUCAGCGGGGAGGAAGGCGUUAAGGUUAAUAACCUUGGCGAUUGACGUUACCCGCAGAAGAAGCACCGGCUAACUCCGUGCCAGCAGCCGCGGUAAUACGGAGGGUGCAAGCGUUAAUCGGAAUUACUGGGCGUAAAGCGCACGCAGGCGGUCUGUCAAGUCGGAUGUGAAAUCCCCGGGCUCAACCUGGGAACUGCAUUCGAAACUGGCAGGCUAGAGUAUUGUAGAGGGGGGUAGAAUUCCAGGUGUAGCGAUGAAAUGCGUAGAGAUCUGGAGGAAUACCGGUGGCGAAGGCGGCCCCCUGGACAAAGACUGACGCUCAGGUGCGAAAGCGUGGGGAGCAAACAGG